UCCAUCCAGGGGCCAGGAUGACAAUCCGACACCAAGGCCAGCAGUACAGGCCAAGGAUGGCAUUUCUCCAAAAGAUUGAAGCGCUCGUGAAGGACAUGCAGAACCCGGAGACAGGGGUCCGAAUGCAGAACCAGAGGGUCCUGGUCACCAGCGUUCCUCAUGCCAUGACAGGAAGUGAUGUUCUGCAAUGGAUCAUCCAGCGGCUUUGGAUCUCCAGUCUGGAGGCACAGAACUUGGGCAACUUUAUUGUCCGGUAUGGCUACAUUUACCCUCUGCAAGACCCCAAGAAUCUCAUUCUCAAGCCUGAUGGCAGCCUCUACCGAUUUCAGACACCGUAUUUCUGGCCCACCCAGCAGUGGCCAGCUGAAGAUACUGAUUACGCCAUCUAUCUGGCCAAGCGAAAUAUCAAGAAGAAAGGGAUUUUGGAAGAAUAUGAAAAGGAAAAUUACAAUUUCUUGAACCAAAAAAUGAACUAUAAGUGGGACUUUGUCAUUAUGCAGGCCAAAGAGCAGUACAGGGCUGGAAAGGAGAGGAACAAAGCAGACAGAUAUGCCCUGGACUGCCAGGAGAAGGCAUACUGGCUGGUGCACCGAUGCCCUCCUGGAAUGGACAAUGUGCUGGACUACGGCCUGGACCGAGUGACCAAUCCGAAUGAAGUCAAGAAACAAACAGUCGUUGCUGUCAAAAAAGAGAUCAUGUAUUACCAACAGGCCUUGAUGAGGUCCACAGUGAAGUCUUCUGUGUCCCUGGGAGGGAUUGUGAAAUACAGCGAGCAGUUCUCAUCCAACGAUGCCAUCAUGUCAGGCUGCCUCCCCAGCAACCCCUGGAUCACCGAUGACACCCAGUUCUGGGACUUAAAUGCCAAAUUGGUGGAAAUCCCAACCAAGAUGCGAGUGGAACGAUGGGCCUUCAACUUCAGCGAAUUGAUCCGAGACCCCAAAGGUCGACAGAGCUUCCAGUACUUCCUCAAGAAAGAAUUCAGUGGAGAGAAUUUGGGAUUCUGGGAAGCCUGUGAGGAUCUGAAGUAUGGAGAUCAGUCCAAAGUCAAGGAGAAAGCAGAGGAGAUUUACAAGCUGUUCCUGGCCCCAGGGGCGAGGCGCUGGAUCAACAUAGAUGGCAAAACUAUGGACAUCACAGUGAAGGGGCUGAAGCACCCCCACCGCUAUGUGCUGGACGCCGCACAAACCCAUAUUUACAUGCUCAUGAAGAAGGAUUCUUAUGCUCGCUAUUUAAAAUCUCCGAUCUAUAAGGAAAUGCUGGCCAAAGCUAUUGAACCUCAGGAAACCACCAAGAAAAGCUCCACCCUCCCUUUUAUGCGGCGUCACCUGCGCUCCAGCCCAAGCCCUGUCAUCCUGAGGCAGCUGGAAGAGGAAGCCAAGGCCCGAGAAGCGGCCAACACCGUGGACAUCACCCAGGUCAUGAGCAAGCUGGACCGGAGGAGCCAACUCCAAAAAGAGCUGCCUCCUAAAUAA
This 1472-nucleotide small RNA is filed under the name Pongo abelii (Sumatran orangutan). RNAcentral's name for it is "retained intron". The record is from RNAcentral. Lineage: Eukaryota; Metazoa; Chordata; Mammalia; Primates; Hominidae.